AAAAAUCAUUCAUAAAUUAACAUACAAAAAUGUACAAACACAUGAGUAAAUAAGAUAAUGACAAAGGACUACUUUUGUGAAAAGUGUGUGGUCUGUUUUUUUUUUUUUUUAAAACAACCUUAGAGUUCAGUGCAAAAAUGUACCCCUGGCACCUCUUAAAAACAUAAAGGGCAAGUUCAAAAAACCUAGUGAUGGAUAAAAGUGAUCUACAUGAUGCCAUCUGAAAUGGUGACUAUAAGCCAUAUUGGGAGCUCCUGUUCAGCUGUAAUAAGUGAAAGAAUCUUUGGAAAAGAUUCUAAACCAACUCAGAAUCAAAUAGUUUUUAGCCAAUAAAAUCUUCAUAUAAAUUUGUAACGGGGCAAAGGUUGGAGAAAUUGGUUCAAGGAAGUAAUUUCCAUUUUUCAUUUGUUCCCUCCUCUUUGGUCUCCUGAAGGAGGGGGUUCAUCAUUGGUUGUGUAGAAUUCUAGCAGCCAAAAUCACUAUGAGAUGGGUUUGGAUUUGACUUGGCUGGUGGCUUGCAUUUUAAAAAUGAACCUUUCUUUUACAACGUUAAGAAAACAUGCACUUGCCUGUAUGUUUUUGUUUGUUUUCUUAAGAAUCAGUCAUUCUUACUACAUUUGACUUCUGGAAUAAAUGACUAAACAGUGCAACAUUAAGAAAUUCCACCUUUACCAACAACAACAACAACAAAAAAAAAAAAAAAAACAAAAAAAAACAAAGAAAGAAAUUCGUGAUUGCAAAUAAAUACAAGUGAUUCUACUUUAUAUAAUAAAACAGAUAGUAUCUCAAUCUGCUCUUUCAACCCCUCUCACAAUAAAGUGAAAUUUUGGGGCAAGUGUGUCCCAGAUGGUAAAUAUUCUCAAAACAGAGCUUUGUAACUAAUAUAAAUCAGUUUAAAAUCCUGGCAUGUAUAUAUACAUUACCCACCAAACAGAGAAUAUUUAAAUUAAAAAACUGAAGAGCAAAUCGAUCCAAAAAUUCUUGACCAUCACAUUAAAUACAGGGCUCAUACUUUCAAUACCAAUUUGAAAAGGGUCUUUGC
This 1042-nucleotide long non-coding RNA is filed under the name Sarcophilus harrisii (Tasmanian devil). RNAcentral's name for it is "lncRNA (ENSSHAG00000025604.1)". The record is from RNAcentral. Lineage: Eukaryota; Metazoa; Chordata; Mammalia; Dasyuromorphia; Dasyuridae.